UUCACUUAUGUUCGGACGAAGAAUGCUGUCGCUCCAUAAAAGACUAUCGGAUCCCAGUCGCAAACCUGCCAGCUCCGAUUGCACCAACUUUCGACGAGCUCGUUCUCGCUUCAGUAUCUACCAAAAACAGAUGCCUGCCAGGCGUCAGAGUCUGGGCAAAGUCGACUAUGGAGUGACCUUUGCGUGCAAACGAUCAGUAAUGCCGUCCAGUUCACAAUUAGCCGGUAGCAGCCAUGUGAAUGAUUGAUCUGUAUACAGAUCUGUAUUGUACUUCUCCUAGUUUUUCCGCCUUCUCUUCUUGCAAAUUAUCAGCCAGCCGACGCACAAAUGUUUCGGUGUUUAACCGGUAAUCCCGAUGAAAUUCCAAGCCACCAUCCCGCAGCGCUUCCCGUAAACAUUUAAUGCGCUCAGCUGAGCGGUGGGCUCGCAUUUCCAGGCAUCGCUUGUACCUUGUGUGCACAUCGUACCGAAUCUUCCAUUCGUUUUCUGUAAUACGAACAUUAGGUACAUAUACAUGAAAAUGAAAGUUUUUCAUUUAGAUUUCAUCUGGAAAGGAUUUUGCAUUUAGAUCAUGCGAACGCAAGGCGUUGCCGUUUGUUAAACACUAACUGACGUGA
This is a long non-coding RNA of Paramacrobiotus metropolitanus, 617 nucleotides long. RefSeq lists it as uncharacterized. Lineage: Eukaryota; Metazoa; Tardigrada; Eutardigrada; Parachela; Macrobiotidae. The transcript has 4 exons. The record is from RefSeq and is a predicted model, not a curated record.